RNAcentral lists this ribosomal RNA (226 nucleotides) under uncultured bacterium. RNAcentral's name for it is "partial 16S ribosomal RNA". It matches the Rfam family "Bacterial small subunit ribosomal RNA", at positions 524 to 751 of the family's 1533-position model. The record is from RNAcentral.
CACGUACUGUGCGAACGUUAUUCGGAAUCACUGGGCUUAAAGGGUACGUAGGCGGUUAAUCAAGUCAGGUGUGAAAUGCCUGAGCUCAACUGAGGCACUGCGCUUGAAACUGAUUAGCUAGAGUAUUCCAGGGGUGUGCGGAACUUAUGGUGGAGCGGUGAAAUGCGUUGAUAUCAUAGGAACACCGGUGGCGAAAGCGGCUACUGGAGGAUUUCUGACGCUGAGG